AUUUCUUUAUUACAAAAAGUAAGUGUGAUUUCCAAUCAUAAAGUCUAUAUUAAAGAAGAGAUA
Molecule: transfer RNA, 63 nt
Filed under: Endeis sp. JZ-2022
Lineage: Eukaryota; Metazoa; Arthropoda; Pycnogonida; Pantopoda; Endeidae
Description: tRNA-Gly
Source: RNAcentral